This 575-nucleotide ribosomal RNA is filed under the name uncultured rumen bacterium. RNAcentral describes it as "bacterial SSU rRNA". It matches the Rfam family "Bacterial small subunit ribosomal RNA", at positions 347 to 916 of the family's 1533-position model. The record is from RNAcentral.
GGCAGCAGCUAAGAAUAUUCCGCAAUGGACGAAAGUCUGACGGAGCGACGCCGCGUGGAUGAUGAAGGCCGGAAGGUUGUAAAAUCCUUUUAUGACUGAGGAAUAAGCAGUGUGAGAGAAACGCAUUGUGGUGACUGUAGGUCAUGAAUAAGCAACGGCUAAUUACGUGCCAGCAGCCGCGGUAACACGUAAGUUGCGAGCGUUGUUCGGAAUUAUUGGGCGUAAAGGGCAUGUAGGCGGUUCUGCAAGUCUGGUGUGAAAUACCGGGGCUCAACCUCGGAACUGCGUUGGAAACUGCAGGACUUGAGUCGCUGAGGGGCAGCCAGAAUUCCAGGUGUAGGGGUGAAAUCUGUAGAUAUCUGGAAGAAUACCAAUGGCGAAGGCAGGCUGCCAGCAGAUGACUGACGCUGAGGUGCGAAGGUGCGGGGAGCAAACAGGAUUAGAUACCCUGGUAGUCCGCACAGUCAACUAUGUACACUAGGUGUCCGCACAUGAGUGUGGGUGCCGAAGCAAACGCGAUAAGUGUACCGCCUGGGGAGUAUGCCCGCAAGGGUGAAACUCAAAGGAAUUGACGG